This 446-nucleotide ribosomal RNA is filed under the name uncultured bacterium. Its description in RNAcentral is "partial 16S ribosomal RNA". It matches the Rfam family "Bacterial small subunit ribosomal RNA", at positions 338 to 795 of the family's 1533-position model. The record is from RNAcentral.
CCUACGGGUGGCAGCAGUCGAGAAUCAUUCACAAUGGGGGAAACCCUGAUGGUGCGACGCCGCGUGGGGGAAUGAAGGUCUUCGGAUUGUAAACCCCUGUCAUGUGGGAGCAAAUUAAAAAGAUAGUACCACAAGAGGAAGAGACGGCUAACUCUGUGCCAGCAGCCGCGGUAAUACAGAGGUCUCAAGCGUUGUUCGGAAUCACUGGGGGUAAAGCGUGCGUGGGCGGUUUCGUAAGUCGUGUGUGAAAGGCGCGGGCUCAACCCGCGGACGGCACAUGAUACUGCGAGACUAGAGUAAAGGAGGGGGAACCGGAAUUCUCGGUGUAGCAGUGAAAUGCGUAGAUAUCGGGAGGAACACUAGUGGCGAAGGCGGGUUCCUGGACAUUAACUGACGCUGAGGCACGAAGGCCAGGGGAGCAAAAGGGAUUAGAUACCCUAGUAGUC